RNAcentral lists this unclassified non-coding RNA (222 nucleotides) under plant metagenome. Its description in RNAcentral is "partial contains small subunit ribosomal RNA, internal transcribed spacer 1, and 5.8S ribosomal RNA". The record is from RNAcentral.
CCGUUGGUGAACCAGCGGAGGGAUCAUUACAGGACUCGCAAGACUCCUACAACCCUGUGAACUUAACUAUAAGCACGUUGCUUCGGCGGGUGUCUCGGAGGGGGUUCUCCCUCCCCGAGACGCUAAACCCGCCGGCAGCCUACUAUACUCUGUCUCUUUGCGUUGGCAUCUCGAGUACAGUCAAACAAGUUAAAACUUUCAACAACGGAUCUCUUGGUUCUG